UAGGGAAUCUUCCACAAUGGGCGAAAGCCUGAUGGAGCAAUGCCGCGUGUGUGAUGAAGGGUUUCGGCUCGUAAAACACUGUUGUAAGAGAAGAAUGACAUUGAGAGUAACUGUUCAAUGUGUGACGGUAUCUUACCAGAAAGGAACGGCUAAAUACGNGCACG
RNAcentral lists this ribosomal RNA (164 nucleotides) under uncultured bacterium. RNAcentral's name for it is "partial 16S rRNA". It matches the Rfam family "Bacterial small subunit ribosomal RNA", at positions 355 to 511 of the family's 1533-position model. The record is from RNAcentral.